AGGAGUCAGACAAUGGGAGGUUUUAGUUGAAGUGACAUGGUCUGACCUGAGCUGAGACUUGAAGCUUCUGCAACUUGCCCUGUUUUGACAUUAGUAGGUGAGAGGAAAAUAAUUUUCAAUAAAACAACCGAUAAAUGAUGGGCUAAGAGAAAGCUGCCUGGGCAGAAGGAGCCGAAAUCAGCUAAAGCAUUCUGAAAAUGUAUUGGAUUUGACUGGAGCUCGCCCGUGGGACACCGUAGGAGGGGCACCACAGUACUAUCGCUCCCCACGCCUGGGAACUUAUGCCGAGUCUCAGGAUGCGACAGCUCGGAGGAGAUUCCGGUGAGAACGGGAGCCUCCCGUUUGGGAGCACCAAUCAUCUGGUGCACUACUUAGAUCAUCCGCAUCCUGAUCCAUUUUCCAUCUUCAGAUACCACUUGACGCCUGGAGAAAGUCUGGGACGACCUCUAGAAUUAAUCUGGCUUAAACCUCUGUUGUCAAAUAAGGUUCCAUCUGAAGACUUCCCCAGGAUUCAAGCCCUGGGAGACCUGAUGCAAAAUGCCCCCUCAGUUAUGUAAUGGGUUCCUCGACAUAACUUUUUAGUGACCUGAGUACAAAUAUCUUUUAUGGUGAAUUUUUCUCUUCAGAAUGGGAUAAUUUUUUUUUCAAGGUCCUGAGUUUCUUGGAUGUUUAUACAAAUGGUGUUUUCAUUACAAUACUUAUGAAAAUCUCAAGGAUUUGUACUUUGAGGUUUAUUUAUCAUAGGAUUAAUACCAGAGGUGAUUGCUGAAGCCCUCACUGCCUAUAAAGUACUUUCCUGGUGAUCAUUUUACACAUGAAAUUUUCUUUUGCUGAAAAACUUGACCAUUUGGAGAAGUGUUAGUGUCCUAGUUUUUUUCUUUGGGAAGGAGUGGGGAGUUGAAUGUUGCAGAGACAAAAAUUUUCUGCAUAUCUGUGAGGUAGGCACUCUUUCUUACACACACUCACCGAAUUCUUGAAAACUUUGAGAGUAAAUAUUGUCCCUGUGUAAGUGAAGAGAUAGGCUUGAAGGGAUUAAAUAAUUUGUGUAGCCUCAAAUGACUAGGAAAUAAACAAGGUAGGAUUCAAAAACCCAUGACUCUGACGGGGUCUGUAUUUGCUCCACCAGAUCAUGCUGCCUCUCAAAUUCUAAAGUUCUAACUCUUGCAAUUAAUGCUAUAAUCCUUUUAAAUGUGCUCUCAGUUCAAAAUACAGAUUUGUACUUAAUUUUUGUAUGUUUUGUUAAUCUCCAAAUUAACCAUAAGCUUCGAUAACUCAUGUAUAAGCAAUAAAGUAAAAUAAAAUUUGGA
This is a long non-coding RNA of Phacochoerus africanus (Common warthog), 1307 nucleotides long. RefSeq lists it as uncharacterized. The record is from RefSeq and is a predicted model, not a curated record. The transcript has 2 exons. Lineage: Eukaryota; Metazoa; Chordata; Mammalia; Artiodactyla; Suidae.